UUUUCUCACAUCCGAAUAUCUAAACAAAGUACUUGUUAAAAUUUAUAUACUUAAGAGACGUUUUGAUAUCUGAUUAAUUUUAUUGUCUUCUUUACUUAACUUAUUUAUAAAUUUUUGAAUCGUUAAAAAUCUUUAAUUCACUAUUAAAUAUUUUUAAUAAAUAUGUAUUAUUAAAACAUUACUUCCUGUGAUAACGUAUUUUAUUAUUUAUUUGUAAAAAAUUUAUAUAUUUAAUACAAUAUGACAAGUUCAAAGAAAAAUAAUAGUUGGUUAUUGCCAUCAUUUGAUUGUGAAUCUAUUAAAAAAACACCAACUAAAUGUAUCAUUUCAGAAGAAUUAGAAACUAAUGUUUCUCAAGUACCAAGUGAUUAUAAUAUAAUUCUGAAAAAAAAAAAUACUAAAAAUUUGUCUGCAUUGUUAGAAGCUUGUGAACCACAACGUUCUACUGAAUUAGUAGUUAGUAGACAAAAGAGACAAGAAAUUUUAGAUUGGUUACAAUAUAAAGUAAAAAAGGGCAAACCAGCUAUUUUAGUUUUAUCUGGUCCAUCUGGUUGUGGGAAAACAGCAGCAAUAAGGGUUCUUGCAAAAGAAAAUGAUUUUAAUCUAACAGAAUGGAUUACUCCUAUUGAUCAAAUUAUGGAUGAAAAUAAUAGAAUAAUGAAACAAGGAGACAAAUUUGAAGAGUUUUUAAUUAGAGCUACUCGAUAUAAUUCAAUUCUGAAUAAUUGUUCUAGUCGUUUACUUCUUGUAAAAGAUUUUCCAAAUGUUUUUUAUGAUGAUAAAGAAAGUUUUUUUUCUCUUUUAGGAAGAUAUUUUGAGAUUGGAAAAGAACCUAUUGUUUUUGUAUGCACAGAAGCAGGAAAUUCAAAAUUGUUGCAAAUAUUAUUUUCUACCAAUAUAAGGGAAAAAUUUGGUAUUGAUAUGAUUAAUAUAAAUUCUGUUACACAAGCUGCAAUGAAAAAUGCAUUAAAAAGAACAGCUAAUAUUUUAAAUUCAAUUGCUGGACAUAUGUUACAUGUCUCACAACAUAAAGUUGAUGAAAUAUUAUCAAAUAAUGUAGGAGAUAUUAGAAAUGCAUUAUUAAAUCUCAUUUUUAUUUCAUUAAAAGUACCUGAAGAACAAGAAAAUAAGUGUAAUAUACGAGAAGAAACUUUAGGACUUCUCCAUGGUGUUGGACGAGUAAUUAAUCCAAAAAGAAUUCAAACUGAAAACAAUUGGAAAUUUGUACAUGAUCCGGAUGAAAUAAUAGCUUUCUUUCAAUCACAAGCAACAGUAUUUUUAAAUUUUUUACAAGAAAAUUAUUUAAAUACUAUGGGAGACAUAGAGAAAGUGAAUAUUUGCACAAAUAUUUUAAGUUUAGCAAAUAUUUUAAAUUCUGAAUGGAUUCUAAUUUAACUAAAAUUGCUUUAUCUUUUUGCGUCCGAGGCAUAAUGGUAACCAAUGAAAAGCCAAUUUCUGGUUGGAAUCCUGUACGAAAACCACCAAAUGAUCAAAUUAAUGUACAAAGAUGUGUAGCAGCUGCCGAAAUUCGAUGGUAUGAAUCUAUAAUCAAUAAAAAAUCGAAAA
RNAcentral lists this unclassified non-coding RNA (1566 nucleotides) under Apis dorsata (giant honeybee). Its description in RNAcentral is "cell cycle checkpoint protein RAD17, transcript variant X1". Lineage: Eukaryota; Metazoa; Arthropoda; Insecta; Hymenoptera; Apidae. The record is from RNAcentral.